This 253-nucleotide ribosomal RNA is filed under the name uncultured bacterium. RNAcentral's name for it is "partial 16S ribosomal RNA". It matches the Rfam family "Bacterial small subunit ribosomal RNA", at positions 524 to 776 of the family's 1533-position model. The record is from RNAcentral.
UACGAAGGGGGCUAGCGUUGCUCGGAAUUGCUGGGCGUAAAGGGCGCGUAGGCGGGUAGUCUAGUCAGAGGUAAAAGCCCAGGGCUCAACCUUGGAACUGCCUUUGAUACUGGCUAUCUUGAGUUCGGGAGAGGUGAGUGGAAUGCCGAGUGUAGAGGUGAAAUUCGUAGAUAUUCGGCGGAACACCAGUGGCGAAGGCGACUCACUGGCCCGAUACUGACGCUGAGGUGCGAAAGCGUGGGGAGCAAACAGG